Molecule: ribosomal RNA, 499 nt
Filed under: uncultured bacterium
Lineage: Bacteria
Description: partial 16S ribosomal RNA
Rfam family: Bacterial small subunit ribosomal RNA
Source: RNAcentral
GACGAACGCUGGCGGCGUGCCUAAUACAUGCAAGUCGUGCGGACCUUGUUGAAAGCUUGCUUUUAAAAGGUUAGCGGCGGACGGGUGAGCAACACGUUGGCAACCUGCCUGUAAGACUGGGAUAACGCCGGGAAACCGGGGCUAAUACCAGAUCGUUUUUUCCUCCGCAUGGAGGAAAAAGGAAAGGCGGCUUCGGCUGCCACUUACAGAUGGGCCCGCGGCGCAUUAGCUAGUUGGCGGGGUAAUGGCCCACCAAGGCAACGAGGCGUAGGCGACCGGAGAGGGGGAUCGGCCACAUUGGGACGGGGCCAGGGCCCAAACGCCUACGGGAGGCAGCAGUAGGGAAUCUUACGCAAUGGACGAAAGUCUGACGGAGCAGCGCGGAGUGAGUGAAGAAGGCCUCCGGGUCGUAAAACUCUGUUGCCGGGGAAGAACAGGUUCCGUUCGAACAGGGCGGCGCCUUGACGGUACCCGGCCAGAAAGCCACGGCUAACUACGU